AAUCAACGCUGGCGGCGUGCCUCAGACAUGCAAGUCGAACGCGAAAGUCCCCUUCGGGGGACAAGUAGAGUGGCGCACGGGUGAGUAACACGUAGGUAAUCUACCUUUGGAUGGGGAAUAACAACCGGGAAACGGUUGCUAAUACCGCAUAAUGCAGCGGCACCUAAUGGUGACAGUUGUUAAAGCGGGGGAUCGAAAGACCUCGCGUCUAAAGAGGAGCCUGCGGCGGAUUAGCUAGNGGUAAGGUAAUGGCUUACCAAGGCUACGAUCCGUAACCGGCCUGAGAGGGCGGUCGGUCGACACUGACACUGACAUACGGGUCA
RNAcentral lists this ribosomal RNA (323 nucleotides) under uncultured bacterium. RNAcentral's name for it is "bacterial SSU rRNA". It matches the Rfam family "Bacterial small subunit ribosomal RNA", at positions 32 to 333 of the family's 1533-position model. The record is from RNAcentral.